ACUUGUUGGUGGUGCCAGCUGAAUAGGUUUGUUCCAUAUAGAAAUACUAGUUUUUCAACUUGAAUAUGACUUUUUAAAAUUCUUUCAAGUCAUUAUUUCAGAUAGAGAUGUGAUCUCUUUGACGUACAUGCUGCUGUAGUGGGAUGGAGAUGCACAUUUGGAAUAUGCCAGUUUAGGGCAAUUGCAUCAUUAUUGUGACAAGCUAUGGUAACAAGCUUGCUAUUGUAGCAUCAUUAAUAAUGUUUGCCACAAUAAUGUGCUUUAUUUAUGUGUAAACCUGGAACUGAGCUGGAACUGAAUGUCAUGCCAGGACUGAUAUGCAAGGCAACAAUCCCAGCCAAUAUGAUGUGCUGAAGAAGUUGCCUUUUGGUGAUUUAAUUUGUCUUGUAAGGGUUAUGUUCUUACAUGUAUUAGCAAGACUUUCAUGAUCUGACAGUUCUGAAAUGACUUUCUGAAUUACCUCCAUGGUAUCAUGAUAAAAUACUUGAAAAACAUUUUUGUUCCCCUCCUUUUUUUUUUUUUCUUUUUUCUCCACAUAUUAGUAACAAUGUAAGACUGAAGAUACAAAACUUAUGUGGUGUUUUUGUAUUUCAGUGUGAAACAUUGUGUGAAACGCACUAUCCAACGAAAUCACAUGCAGAAAAUAUUUUUUCUUAUUAAUAUGAACUCCAUAAAAGUGUCUGCCUUAUUCUUACACAGAUCAGUUUUCUUUUGAGUAUCCUGACUUUGUCAUACAGGGGAUUUGUGGAAAUAAACUUCUUAUUAACUAUUUGGCAUUGACCAUUACGCUACUAAUUGCAGGAGAGAGACAGUUGUCACUCCCAGGUAUAAAUGCAGCAUAACACCCCUAGAAAGAUCAUUUUUAUUAUUAUGUUAAAGGAAAAGGAAUACUUUUUUUUUUCAAUUACUCAUCACAUUUCCUUCUGUCUGUUCUAUCAGUGGAAAGUUUCUCUAUGCCUUCCUCUCAAUUUUUUUUUUUUUUAUUUUUUUUUCCAGUUUGUUUUGGUUGAAGAGGGAUUACAUGAAGUGAAUAAUGGAGAAUAUAGAAGUGAGCUGGAGGCUCAUGCAGGAACACAGCCAGACCAUGGCACACUCCUGUCCUCAGCCACUCAGCUGAAGGGAUUUGCUGCUUUCUACGAGGACAGCGACAUCAAGGUACCAUAGGCAUGAGCAACGUUUCGAGACGAUGAGCUAUAUUCAGUUGUGGUGGGUUAACCUUGGCUAAAGGCCAAAGUGCAACCCAACCACUCAAACAUUACCCUCCUCAACCAGACAAGGGGAUCAAGUAGGAUGAAAAAGCUCACAGUCAUGAAAGAAAGGGAGAUCACUUACUAAUUACCGUCACAGGAAAAAGCACUUGACUUGAGGAGAAUUAAUUUAAUUUAUUGCAAAUUAAAAAUUGAAUAGAAUGUCGAGAAAUUAAGAAAAAAAUAAAACUAAAUUCC
Molecule: long non-coding RNA, 1445 nt
Filed under: Anas platyrhynchos platyrhynchos (common mallard)
Lineage: Eukaryota; Metazoa; Chordata; Aves; Anseriformes; Anatidae
Description: lncRNA (ENSAPLG00000028759.1)
Source: RNAcentral